Molecule: ribosomal RNA, 418 nt
Filed under: uncultured bacterium
Lineage: Bacteria
Description: bacterial SSU rRNA
Rfam family: Bacterial small subunit ribosomal RNA
Source: RNAcentral
GGAAUAUUGGACAAUGGCCGAAAGGCUGAUCCAGCCAUCCUGCGUGCAGGAAGACGGCCCUAUGGGUUGUAAACUGCUUUUAUCAGGGAAGAAACCCCGGCAUUCAUGCCGGGCUGACGGUACCUGAGGAAUAAGCACCGGCUAACUCCGUGCCAGCAGCCGCGGUAAGACGGAGGGUGCAAGAGUUAUCCGGAAUUACUGGGUUUAAAGGGUGCGUAGGCGGCCAGGUAAGUCAGGAGUGAAAGUUUGCGGCUUAACCGUAAAAUUGCUUUUGAUACUGCUUGGCUAGAAUUGGGAUGAGGUCAGCGGAAUGUGGCAUGUAGCGGUGAAAUGCAUAGAUAUGCCAUAGAACACCAAUUGCGAAGGCAGCUGGCUAGACCUUGAUUGACGCUGAGGCACGAAAGCGUGGGGAGCGAAC